RNAcentral lists this long non-coding RNA (285 nucleotides) under Gossypium raimondii (Peruvian cotton). RNAcentral describes it as "long non-coding RNA (GRAI_LNC007838)". The record is from RNAcentral. Lineage: Eukaryota; Viridiplantae; Streptophyta; Magnoliopsida; Malvales; Malvaceae.
CAAGAACAUCAACAUAAAAAAUAUACAUAAUCAUAAUCACAACAUAAAUUAAAAAGAUUAAGAGAAAUGAACUAGAAAAACAAAUCCCGAUGAUUUUCCAAAGCCAAACUAAUGCGCUCCUCUCUUCUCUGCCCGUUCUGUUGAUCCAAAGCCUUCACGAACACUUGAUUGCUACUUCUCCAAGGAGCUUGCUAGCUCUUUUUCAAGAGGGGAAUUCGGCAAGGGAAGAAAGAACUUUGAAAGCAACUAGAAGGGAAAAGAAAAAGAAAGAUUAGAGAAAAGGCG